Molecule: long non-coding RNA, 1351 nt
Filed under: Eptatretus burgeri (inshore hagfish)
Lineage: Eukaryota; Metazoa; Chordata; Myxini; Myxiniformes; Myxinidae
Description: lncRNA (ENSEBUG00000017507.1)
Source: RNAcentral
CCCACUUUCCAAUGUGAAGAAAAUCAGAGCUCGAACAUGCCUUUACAAAGAACAUGCCGAGAUGGACAUUUUGACCUGCCAAAGUGCACACCAGAUUUAUGUUAUCUGCAGACAUCGGAUUUCAGGAAUAAUCACCUUGAGGUUCCAGAGAAUUACACACAGAUGCUAUUCAGAUGGAUCUUUUAUCAUGUCGAGUUACCCAGAGAUGUACCAGUGACCCUGAAAUGUGAGCAAGAUCACGUGACCUCAGAACAUCUUAUCGUCAUGUGUAAAGAUGGGGUUGUGGAACUGCCAAAGUGCCGUCCAGGACAUCAAGGCGGUACACGAGUUCUUGCCAUGUUCAGCUCAGCACGUUUGCGUCCACCAGUACGCAUGCAGCUGUGAUCGGAGAACGAAGAUCCUGCAGGUUUGCCACCUUGAUGCUGCAGACAACAUCUUUGACAAACGCCCACAGAAAAAAAUCAAGGGGGGGUUAUGUCUGGUGAUCAUGGUGGCCAGGCGGUUGGUCUAUCGCAGCCAAUCCAGCGACCUGGAAAUUUUUCAUUCAGGACAACUCAAACAACUAAGGCCCAAUGAGGGGAAAUGCCAUUCUGUCGAAAAUGAUAUUGGGUUGCAGGUCUUCAAUCUGUGGGAAGGCAAAUCCUUCCACCAUGUUCAUGUAAAUUGUUGAGGUCACUGUAGCCUCCGUAAAGAAAAACAGACCCACCAAGCAGUCAUGGAGAAGGCCACACCACACAUUGACCUUUGGACUGUCGCGUAUGUGUUCAAUGACCACUUGGGGGGUUUUCAGAGUGCCAGAUCCUAACAUUGUGCCAGUUGACCUUCCCUGACAAAUGAAAGCUCGUUUUUCCUGUCAACAUGACCUUUUUUAGGUAAUCUUCAUCAUCCGCAAUGUGACUGAGCAUUUCAAAGGCAAAUGCCUUGCAUUUGCGUCUGUCAUUUGGUUUAAGUUCCUGCAGAAUCUGCACCUUAUAGCCAUAAAGCUUCAGUCUUUCAUGUAAAAUCCCCUAUGUACAGUGGUGGUUGGUAGUCCUAGUUCUCUGAAUGCGCAUCAAAUUGAUUUUCUGGGACUUUGUUGAAAUGAUUCAUGCACUCAUUCAAUGCCUGCUGCACUUGUGCUUGGUCGACCGGUACUUUUCUGUUUGAUUACUUCCAGUCCCCUUCAACCCCUUGUCCCACUCUCUGAUAUCAGUCUGUGAUGGUGCACUGAGCUUUCUCCUGUGGAGUCACCUUUUUUUUUUACAUGAAAUCACCAGUCCAGAAAAUAUAUAAUUUUUUUUGAAUUUCUUUAUCAUAUUAAGCAAAGGGUAUCGUUGUAUCAUUUGUUGUACUAAAUAUAUUAACAACCAAA